This 453-nucleotide ribosomal RNA is filed under the name uncultured bacterium. RNAcentral's name for it is "SSU rRNA". It matches the Rfam family "Bacterial small subunit ribosomal RNA", at positions 26 to 518 of the family's 1533-position model. The record is from RNAcentral.
AGAGCGAACGCUGGCGGCAGGCCUAACACAUGCAAGUCGAGCGCCCGUAGCAAUACGGGAGCGGCAGACGGGAUAGUAACACGUGGGAACGCGCCCUUCGGUUCGGAAUAACUCAGGGAAACUUGAGCUAAUACCGGAUACGCCCUUACGGGGAAAGAUUUAUUGCCGAAGGAACGGCCCGCGUCCGAUUAGCUAGUUGGUGAGGUAAUGGCUCACCAAGGCGACGAUCGGUAGCUGGUCUGAGAGGAUGACCAGCAUCACUGGGACUGAGACACGGCCCAGACUCCUACGGGAGGCAGCAGUGGGGAAUAUUGCGCAAUGGGCGAAAGCCUGACGCAGCGACGCCGCGUGGGGGAUGAAUGCCUUCGGGUUGUAAACCCCUUUCAGCAGGGACGAAGCGAAAGUGACGGUACCUGCAGAAGAAGCGCCGGCUAACUACGUGCCAGCAGCCGC